ACCUUGUUGAAGAAUUAUCGACCCAUCUCGCUGCUGAGCCAUGUCUAUAAGUUGUUCUCGAAAGUCAUCACGAAUCGUCUCGCUCGUAGGUUCGAUGUCUUCC
Molecule: long non-coding RNA, 103 nt
Organism: Maniola jurtina (meadow brown)
Lineage: Eukaryota; Metazoa; Arthropoda; Insecta; Lepidoptera; Nymphalidae
Exons: 3
Source: RefSeq, a predicted model, not a curated record